Molecule: long non-coding RNA, 1074 nt
Organism: Hippocampus comes (tiger tail seahorse)
Lineage: Eukaryota; Metazoa; Chordata; Actinopteri; Syngnathiformes; Syngnathidae
Exons: 4
Source: RefSeq, a predicted model, not a curated record
CUCACCCCAGCCCCAGCUUCCAGCCCACCCAGCUCUGCUGCUGCCAGCACCGGCGUGCAUUUAGUUGGCGACGUGCUUCUCUGCAGCCGGCCCGUGCACGCCACCAGACUGGUUGCAAAGCAAUUCUGGCAAAAAAAAAAAAAAUGUGCGCGUGUGUGUGUGUAUGGGGGGUGGCGGAUGGGGGGGCGGGGGUGGACCGCCGCUAAUUUCUUGUGCGUGUGUAGCAAUGCAGCAGCCAGCAGCUGUUUGACGCAUGCAUGCCCCCUCCUCUUCUUCCUCCUCCUCCUCGUCCUCCAAACCAAACAUUCUGUUAGCGUCACAGAAUUUGGCAGGAAUUAAGUACCCUCAAUUUGGCUUCGACUGCGGUCCCCAAGUUCCAGCAGAAUGUGAGAAAACUCUGUCAGCGUGCAUUUGAACCCGAGCGGUGGGCCGGGCUCCACAUGGUGCCUGGGCCUGUAGCCUACAUGUCAUAUGGGAAUGGUUUCCGUCUGCUUUUGGCUAAAUAAAGGCGGCUCUGUGUUGGAGCCUAUUAAAGAUCUGCGAUGAUGGAGCGACUGCAGUUUGCCGGAUGGCGCGCAUACAUCCAUUCGCUGCUCGGUAACCGCAACACACCGAAUGCAUAUGCAGGUAUUGCUCUUAUUGUGAGAAGAAUCGUUAUUCGUAAUGUUGGUGGCUGUAGUCAUAAUAUUAAAAAGGGCGUUUCGCAGCAACAACAACAACAACAAUAAUAAUAAUAAUAAUAAUAAUAAUAAUAAUAAUAUUAUUAUUUUCACCAAUUGACACGACUCUUGGAUUUGAAAUACUCAAAGGGGGCUUCAACACAUUGCGCAGAAAUUGCCCUGGGAUGUUUCCUCGGCACGAGUGGACGUGAAAUGCGGACGGUAAUCGUUAAUCAAUAAUCUUAAUCAAUAGCGAUUAUUUGCCGGAUACUCUCGGGAGCCUGGUUUGGAAUAUUGGUGGGUGUGGGGGGGGGGGGUAUGUUGAUCAGUUCGAAACAAUGACGUGAGGUAUGAUCAUGAUCACAAUAUUACGUUUGACACUUACACACGACUUGCACACCCACGUAAUUAUUUU